Non-coding RNA from Populus trichocarpa (black cottonwood), 153 nucleotides. The record is from Rfam. NCBI's taxonomy places the organism in Eukaryota, Viridiplantae, Streptophyta, Magnoliopsida, Malpighiales, Salicaceae.
UCUAGAACUCGAGAUAUAUGUUGAAUAAUGAAUAGUGUCUGGGCUACAGGACAAAUUUCGACUUCUCUGUUGCUACAAUUUGAACUUGAAAACGGUCCUUUUGAAUCUUGGACUCUUCAUGAAAGUUUUAGGCUUAUGUCUUGACUUUCUAUU